Molecule: ribosomal RNA, 535 nt
Filed under: uncultured bacterium
Lineage: Bacteria
Description: bacterial SSU rRNA
Rfam family: Bacterial small subunit ribosomal RNA
Source: RNAcentral
UACGGGAGGCAGCAGUGGGGAAUAUUGGACAAUGGGCGCAAGCCUGAUCCAGCCAUGCCGCGUGAGUGAUGAAGGCCCUAGGGUUGUAAAGCUCUUUCACCGGUGAAGAUAAUGACGGUAACCGGAGAAGAAGCCCCGGCUAACUUCGUGCCAGCAGCCGCGGUAAUACGAAGGGGGCUAGCGUUGUUCGGAUUUACUGGGCGUAAAGCGCACGUAGGCGGACUUUUAAGUCAGGGGUGAAAUCCCGGGGCUCAACCUGGGAACUGCAUUUGUGACUGCAUGGCUAGAGUACGGUAGAGGGGGAUGGAAUUCCGCGUGUAGCAGUGAAAUGCGUAGAUAUGCGGAGGAACACCAGUGGCGAAGGCGGCUCACUGGACCAUUACUGACGCUGAGGUGCGAAAGCGUGGGGAGUAAACAGGAUUAGAUACCCUGGUAGUCCACGCCGUAAACGAUGAAUGUUAGCCGUUGGGGAGUUUACUCUUCGGUGGCGCAGCUAACGCAUUAAACAUUCCGCCUGGGGAGUACGGUCGCAAGA